RNAcentral lists this ribosomal RNA (253 nucleotides) under uncultured bacterium. RNAcentral describes it as "partial 16S ribosomal RNA". It matches the Rfam family "Bacterial small subunit ribosomal RNA", at positions 524 to 776 of the family's 1533-position model. The record is from RNAcentral.
UACGGAGGGAGCUAGCGUUGUUCGGAAAUACUGGGCGUAAAGCGUGCGUAGGUGGUUUGUUAAGUCUGUUGUGAAAGCCCCGGGCUCAACCUGGGAAUGGCAAUGGAUACUGGCAAGCUAGAGUGCGGUAGAGGGUAGUGGAAUUCCCGGUGUAGCGGUGAAAUGCGUAGAGAUCGGGAGGAACACCAGUGGCGAAGGCGGCUACCUGGACCAGCACUGACACUGAGGCACGAAAGCGUGGGGAGCAAACAGG